RNAcentral lists this ribosomal RNA (517 nucleotides) under uncultured Streptomyces sp. RNAcentral's name for it is "bacterial SSU rRNA". It matches the Rfam family "Bacterial small subunit ribosomal RNA", at positions 144 to 674 of the family's 1533-position model. Lineage: Bacteria; Bacillati; Actinomycetota; Actinomycetes; Kitasatosporales; Streptomycetaceae. The record is from RNAcentral.
CAAGCCCUGGAAACGGGGUCUAAUACCGGAUAUGACGCACGACCGCAUGGUCUGUGUGUGGAAAGCUCCGGCGGUGCAGGAUGAGCCCGCGGCCUAUCAGCUUGUUGGUGGGGUAGUGGCCUACCAAGGCGACGACGGGUAGCCGGCCUGAGAGGGCGACCGGCCACACUGGGACUGAGACACGGCCCAGACUCCUACGGGAGGCAGCAGUGGGGAAUAUUGCACAAUGGGCGAAAGCCUGAUGCAGCGACGCCGCGUGAGGGAUGACGGCCUUCGGGUUGUAAACCUCUUUCAGCAGGGAAGAAGCGAGAGUGACGGUACCUGCAGAAGAAGCACCGGCUAACUACGUGCCAGCAGCCGCGGUAAUACGUAGGGUGCGAGCGUUGUCCGGAAUUAUUGGGCGUAAAGAGCUCGUAGGCGGCUUGUCACGUCGGUUGUGAAAGCCCGGGGCUUAACCCCGGGUCUGCAGUCGAUACGGGCAGGCUAGAGUUCGGUAGGGGAGAUCGGAAUUCCUGGU